Molecule: ribosomal RNA, 531 nt
Filed under: uncultured beta proteobacterium
Lineage: Bacteria; Pseudomonadati; Pseudomonadota; Betaproteobacteria
Description: bacterial SSU rRNA
Rfam family: Bacterial small subunit ribosomal RNA
Source: RNAcentral
UGGGGAAUUUUGGACAAUGGGCGCAAGCCUGAUCCAGCCAUGCCGCGUGCAGGAUGAAGGCCUUCGGGUUGUAAACUGCUUCUGUACGGAACGAAACGGCCUUGUCUAAUAAAGAGGGCUAAUGACGGUACCGUAAGAAUAAGCACCGGCUAACUACGUGCCAGCAGCCGCGGUAAUACGUAGGGUGCAAGCGUUAAUCGGAAUUACUGGGCGUAAAGCGUGCGCAGGCGGUGAUGUAAGACAGUUGUGAAAUCCCCGGGCUCAACCUGGGAACUGCAUCUGUGACUGCAUCGCUGGAGUACGGCAGAGGGGGAUGGAAUUCCGCGUGUAGCAGUGAAAUGCGUAGAUAUGCGGAGGAACACCGAUGGCGAAGGCAAUCCCCUGGGCCUGUACUGACGCUCAUGCACGAAAGCGUGGGGAGCAAACAGGAUUAGAUACCCUGGUAGUCCACGCCCUAAACGAUGUCAACUGGUUGUUGGGUCUUCACUGACUCAGUAACGAAGCUAACGCGUGAAGUGACCGCCUGGGAGA